Molecule: long non-coding RNA, 512 nt
Organism: Lolium rigidum
Lineage: Eukaryota; Viridiplantae; Streptophyta; Magnoliopsida; Poales; Poaceae
Exons: 2
Source: RefSeq, a predicted model, not a curated record
CCUCUCUGUCGCAGCUACCGCCCCUCCCUCCAUCGAAGGGAUCGAGUGGAGAGUCACGGCCCCGUCCUUUCUGUCGCAGCUCCCUCCCCUCCAUCACGGGGAUCGCCGGCAGAAUCACUGACCCGCCCCCAUGGUGGUGGGAACCAGGGACUCGUCAGAUUCCAGCAGCAGCUGGCGGUCGUGAGGGCCGGUGCUCGGAUGCCCCAUCAUCAGAGCCAGUUUGGAUUCGAUGGUCAUGCAAGCCCGCAGCAUUACGCUGCUAUGGCGCAUGGGGUUGAUUCCUACGACUUGGCGGCUCGUCAUCCGGUACAAGGUGGAUCUACUCAGUAGAUGUUGUUUCAUUAAGCAAGAUGACACUCACGAUCUCAACUCAAGAAGCUGCGGAUAGUGAUGCUUAUUGCUUUCUUCAUUUUUUCUUAAUUUUUUUCUUCCCCUAUAUAAGGUGGGUCUUGAUGUUGUACAAAUGAAAUUAAUAUACAGUGUGUGAAUAUAAACUUGGCAUUUGCAGUGUU